CAUGCAGUCGAACGCACAGCGAAAGGUGCUUGCACCUUUCAAGUGAGUGGCGAACGGGUGAGUAACACGUGGACAACCUGCCUCAAGGCUGGGGAUAACAUUUGGAAACAGAUGCUAAUACCGAAUAAAACUUAGUGUCGCAUGACACAAAGUUAAAAGGCGCUUCGGCGUCACCUAGAGAUGGAUCCGCGGUGCAUUAGUUAGUUGGUGGGGUAAAGGCCUACCAAGACAAUGAUGCAUAGCCGAGUUGAGAGACUGAUCGGCCACAUUGGGACUGAGACACGGCCCAAACUCCUACGGGAGGCUGCAGUAGGGAAUCUUCCACAAUGGGCGAAAGCCUGAUGGAGCAACGCCGCGUGUGUGAUGAAGGCUUUCGGGUCGUAAAGCACUGUUGUAUGGGAAGAACAGCUAGAAUAGGAAAUGAUUUUAGUUUGACGGUACCAUACCAGAAAGGGACGGCUAAAUACGUGCCAGCAGCCGCGGUAAUACGUAUGUCCCGAGCGUUAUCCGGAUUUAUUGGGCGUAAAGCGAGCGCAGACGGUUUAUUAAGUCUGAUGUGAAAGCCCGGAGCUCAACUCCGGAAUGGCAUUGGAAACUGGUUAACUUGAGUGCAGUAGAGGUAAGUGGAACUCCAUGUGUAGCGGUGGAAUGCGUAGAUAUAUGGAAGAACACCAGUGGCGAAGGCGGCUUACUGGACUGCAACUGACGUUGAGGCUCGAAAGUGUGGGUAGCAAACAGGAUUAGAUACCCUGGUAGUCCACACCGUAAACGAUGAACACUAGGUGUUAGGAGGUUUCCGCCUCUUAGUGCCGAAGCUAACGCAUUAAGUGUUCCGCCUGGGGAGUACGACCGCAAGGUGA
RNAcentral lists this ribosomal RNA (860 nucleotides) under Leuconostoc mesenteroides. RNAcentral's name for it is "bacterial SSU rRNA". It matches the Rfam family "Bacterial small subunit ribosomal RNA", at positions 54 to 896 of the family's 1533-position model. The record is from RNAcentral. Lineage: Bacteria; Bacillati; Bacillota; Bacilli; Lactobacillales; Lactobacillaceae.